UAAUACAGAGGGUGCUAGCGUUGUUCGGAAUUAUUGGGCGUAAAGCGCGUGUAGGCGGCUUUGCAAGUCGGGUGUGAAAGCCCUCAGCUCAACUGAGGAAGUGCGCCCGAAACUGCAGAGCUUGAGUACCGGAGAGGAUGGCGGAAUUCCCCAAGUAGAGGUGAAAUUCGUAGAUAUGGGGAGGAACACCGGUGGCGAAGGCGGCCAUCUGGACGGAUACUGACGCUGAGACGCGAAAGCGUGGGGAGCAAACA
This 254-nucleotide ribosomal RNA is filed under the name uncultured prokaryote. RNAcentral's name for it is "partial 16S ribosomal RNA". It matches the Rfam family "Bacterial small subunit ribosomal RNA", at positions 521 to 774 of the family's 1533-position model. The record is from RNAcentral.